CUGCUGCCUCCCGUAGGAGUCUGGGCCGUGUCUCAGUCCCAAUGUGGCCGAUCAACCUCUCAGUCCGGCUACCGAUCGUCGCCUUGGUGGGCCGUUGCCCCACCAACUAGCUAAUCGGCCGCGAGCCCAUCUUCCAGCGGAUUGCUCCUUUGGCUGCAUCGGGAUGCCCCAUCGCAGCGUUAUGCGGUAUUAGCAGUCGUUUCCAACUGUUAUCCCCCUCUGAAAGGCAGGUUGCUCACGUGUUA
This 245-nucleotide ribosomal RNA is filed under the name uncultured bacterium. RNAcentral's name for it is "partial 16S ribosomal RNA". The record is from RNAcentral.